GUUUCAUGUGUCAAACGAUAUGAUAAUAUUGAGAUUCUGGAAAGCUGAUUAUACGCUACUAAAAAAAAAAAAGGCGUUUUCGACUAAAAAAUUUCGACCACAUUUUUGGUCAAAAAAAUCGACCACGCGCGGUCGAAAAAUCAAGAAUUUAAUUUUUAUUUUAUUUUCAGUAGGAUUUCGAUCACACGGGGUCGAUUUUUUAAAAUGAAAAUAUAAUUUCGACCACACGGGGUCGAAAUUAAAUUUUGUAUACAUAAUAACGUUUAAAUUAAAAAAAAAAAUAAAAAAUUUCGACCACAUUUGUAUAUACACAUCUGCUGGCUGGUCUUUACUUUUCAUAUUGAAGAUUUUUUCUUUUUCUCUCUUUCCUCUCUCCCUCUCCUCUCUCUACCCACACACACCACCUCUCUCCCUCUCCUCUCUCUACCCACACACACCACCUCUCUCCCUCUCCUCUCUCUACCCACACCACCAGCCCACUGCCCCACCAGCCCAGACCCUCAACCUACCGCCUUCCGACCACCGCCAGUCCACCGUCGGCGGCGCAGCCCUUGCAUUUUCAGUUGAAUGAAUUCCGUGCCAAGUAUCUACAUCAACAAGUCCUCAAGCAUGAAGCAUAUCUGCAAGGAGAUAUUGGAACAUCAGUCCAGAAAGCCUUUUUCAGGUAUGUUCAAGUCAAUUUUUUGUUAUAUAGUCUAAGCUGAAGGCAGUGGGUAUGCCCAAGCUCGCAGCAUCUUGUUCCUUU
This is a long non-coding RNA of Lycium barbarum (goji berry), 745 nucleotides long. RefSeq lists it as uncharacterized. The record is from RefSeq and is a predicted model, not a curated record. The transcript is spliced from 3 exons. NCBI's taxonomy places the organism in Eukaryota, Viridiplantae, Streptophyta, Magnoliopsida, Solanales, Solanaceae.